Ipomoea nil (Japanese morning glory) is the source of this 784-nucleotide long non-coding RNA. RefSeq lists it as uncharacterized. Lineage: Eukaryota; Viridiplantae; Streptophyta; Magnoliopsida; Solanales; Convolvulaceae. The record is from RefSeq and is a predicted model, not a curated record. The transcript has 4 exons.
UUCAUAGUUGUGGAUGUUUGGACAAAUUUUCGCCAGUUAAUAAUGCGACAAAAAGUUCGUCGCGGGGAUGCCAAAGGAGAAAACCUUUGAAUUGUCACAAUAAUGGGUCUUCAUCUGAUGGAUUCCUCAAAUAUUCAGAUGUCAAAUUGCUAGAUACAAAGCAAUCUUGGUAUGAUGAAUCUAUGAGCCUUCAAGAGUCUGAACAAGUUUGCUUGAGGAAUUACUCUUGUAUGGCUUAUUCCACUCUCAAUAUAAGCAAUGGAGGAAGUAGGUGUUUGAUUUGGUUUGGAGAUUUGGUUGAUAUUAUGACAGUACAGAAUGGACAAGACAUAUACAUCAGACUCGCUUCUACCGAAAUACCUGGGUUAAAAGCAGAACCAAUUCAUUCAAGCUCAAAGGGGAGGAAAAUAAAAGUGCUUUUGCUUUGUUUGUCGCUGCUAGUUGUAAUAGUCCUUGCAGGAGUGGUAUUUUUGCAAAACAAAAAACACAGAACAAAAGUUGAAGGAAGAAUUAGACCUACCAAUAUUCGACUGGUCAACAAUAUCAAGAGUCACAAAUAACUUCUCAGAGAAGAACAAGUUAGGCUGGGGUGAAUUCGGAAUUGUGUACAAGGGUGUUCUGGAUGGGGGAGAAGAAAUAGCUGUGAAGAGGCUAUCAAAGAAUUCUACACAAGGACUACAGGAAUUCAAGAAUGAAGUCAUCAGUAUAGCCAAAUUGCAACAUCGAAAUCUUGUGAAACUUCUGGGGUGCUGCAUUAGUGGGAAAGAAAAGAUGUUGAUCUAUG